GUUUUAAAUAUAAGGUCUAACCUGCCCAGUGAUGUAAUUAAAUGGCCGCGGUAUUUUAACUGUGCUAAGGUAGCAUAAUCAUUUGUCUUUUAAUUGAAGGCUAGAAUGAACGGUUGGACGAGGUAUGUUCUUUCUUUAAUCUAAUUAUUGAAUUUAAUUUUUUAGUUAAAAAGCUAAAAUUUGUUUGAGGGACGAGAAGACCCUAUAGAUCUUUAUAUAUGGAUCUAUUAUAUAUUUUAGUAAAUUAGUUAUUUUAAUAUAUCUGUAUAUUUGAUUGGGGUGAUUGUAGAAUUUUUUGAACUUCUAUUUGUAGGUUUCAAAAAUUAUUGUUUAAUUGAUCCAUUAUUAGUGAUUAUAAGAUUAAGUUACCUUAGGGAUAACAGCGUAAUUUCUUUGGAGAGUUCAUAUCGAUAAAGAAGUUUGCGACCUCGAUGUUGGAUUAAAGUAAGAAGUGGGUGCAGGAGCUCAUUUGCUAGGUCUGUUCGACCUUUAAUUCUGUACAUGAUCUG
RNAcentral lists this ribosomal RNA (509 nucleotides) under Sphedanolestes sp. UCR ENT 00019764. Its description in RNAcentral is "partial 16S ribosomal RNA". It matches the Rfam family "Bacterial large subunit ribosomal RNA", at positions 1836 to 2607 of the family's 2925-position model. The record is from RNAcentral. Lineage: Eukaryota; Metazoa; Arthropoda; Insecta; Hemiptera; Reduviidae.